Non-coding RNA from Cladophialophora bantiana CBS 173.52, 124 nucleotides. NCBI's taxonomy places the organism in Eukaryota, Fungi, Ascomycota, Eurotiomycetes, Chaetothyriales, Herpotrichiellaceae. The record is from the annotation of a RefSeq genome assembly.
GUCUCCGUGGCGCAAUGGUUAACGUGAGUUUCCGUAACACUGACUAUGGUAUUGACGAGGCUAACAUUUCAUAGGCGUUUGACUGUUAAUCAAAAGAUUGGUGGUUCGAUCCCACCCGGGGACG